AUGACGACGCCAUCAGGUGGAGGGUCAGAGUGUAUGUCGAAGGUGCAGAUGUUACACCCAUCAGUGGCCUCAGCGACGCUGGCCGGCGAUGAGGUGGAAGGGUGCAGGUUGCGACCGGUGGUGGCCUCGGCAGCGGGUAUCAGUGAUGAGGUGGACGGGUGUAGGUUGUGGCCGGUGGGAACUGGCGACGAGGUGGACGAGGCACGAGGCUCGCCAGGGCCUGGACAGGCGAGCCAAAUAGGCGGAGGCUUUUGGACGAAUCAUGAUUGCGACGAUGGUGAAGUGGCGCAUCUCAUACGGGUGUUGAGCUCGUCGCCAUUGGGAGGACCCUCGUGGGCAGAAGGAUUUGGACAGAUUUGGGGUUGUGAUAUUUUCGAUCGGGUAUAG
Molecule: ribosomal RNA, 387 nt
Filed under: Triticum aestivum (bread wheat)
Lineage: Eukaryota; Viridiplantae; Streptophyta; Magnoliopsida; Poales; Poaceae
Description: partial small subunit ribosomal RNA
Source: RNAcentral